Molecule: long non-coding RNA, 1022 nt
Filed under: Ictidomys tridecemlineatus (thirteen-lined ground squirrel)
Lineage: Eukaryota; Metazoa; Chordata; Mammalia; Rodentia; Sciuridae
Description: lncRNA (ENSSTOG00000032531.1)
Source: RNAcentral
CUGCCAGUGAGAUGUCAACAUCAGACUCUUACAAUACAUUUCCCAGGUUCUUGCCUCCCCACUAGAAGAAUUGCUCCUCAGAGAUCAAGAUAAUCUACUGCCAACCCCAUACAGUGGGUCACAAGUAUCUGCCUUUGUCUGGACAAUAGGGUGCAACCUACAGAAGAGUCAAAUGAAGGUGGACUCAGGAGCAAAUGAAAACUGUAUGUAUUCUCAAUUCACUUACUUGCUGAGGGAAAAUUGAAGUGCUGAAAAAGUUUCAACUUUCUUGCCUGUUUCUGUCUACAAAGCCAUCCUGAUUCCAGAUUCCUACUGGAAAAGAGGACUGGGGGUUUGGUGAAAGAAACUGAUAGUCCAGUGAAGACUGAUGACCAUCUAUUACAGUCCUCAGUUUCCUCUGAGGACUUGUUGGAAUCACUUGCAAGUGACAGCAACGACAAGGAGAACCCACUGAAUGUCCUGGUGGAUGCAAGAGGAACUGAAAAUGGUAUGCACUGUGGAAUCACUCACUUGCUGAUAAAUUGUCUAGAUGAUGAGGAAGGUGGAACUGUCUUGCUGACUUUCAUGUGGAGAGCCGCCCUGAUUCCAACUGUCUGCCAUGGAUAAGGACUGGGAGUCCUGUAUGGACACCUGGCGGCUGGGAGGAUCUGGAGCUUCCUGAGUAAUGGGAAGCACGAAUGAAGCAUUAAGGUCAAUGUACAGGAGCAACUUCCUGCUUGUUCUUUCCAUAGUUUAAAUUAGAUGCAGUUUAUUUUAUCUUGUAUAGUCUAAAUAUUAAUUUUGAAAAUGAGUGCAAUAUUUAAUAUUGAUGUUUUUAUAUUAAAUAACAGAUACUUGCUACCAAUUGAUUUUAAAGAUUUUUCCAUUAAAAAAAAUGUAUCAUAGAAAAACACCUCUGUAUAAGCAGUGUUUUACCUUUUGCAAAUCAUCAAUCAUGCUUGGCCACAGUGCUACCAAACUGCUUGAACACGGGCACUAGUGGAAUAGGUUCCAUGUUCCUUAAAAUAUCAUUUUCUUCAUUU